This 61-nucleotide transfer RNA is filed under the name Chironomus cloacalis. Its description in RNAcentral is "partial tRNA-Ser". Lineage: Eukaryota; Metazoa; Arthropoda; Insecta; Diptera; Chironomidae. The record is from RNAcentral.
UAAAAUUUAAUUCUUAUUAAAUUAUUAAAUUUAAUUAGUUAAUGAGCUUGAAUAAGCAUAU